Molecule: ribosomal RNA, 216 nt
Filed under: uncultured bacterium
Lineage: Bacteria
Description: partial 16S ribosomal RNA
Rfam family: Bacterial small subunit ribosomal RNA
Source: RNAcentral
AUAAUGUAGCCCUCCUUGCGGGGAUACCGUUUCGAAAGGAACGUUAAUACCGCAUAAAGCCUUCGAAGGGCAUCCUUUGAAGGGCAAACUGAUUCAGGGCGAGAGGAGCAAUCUGCGUACUAUCAGCUAGUUGGUGAGGUAAUGGCUCACCAAGGCUACGACGGUUAACUGGUCUGAGAGGAUGAUCAGUCACACUGGAACUGAGACACGGUCCAG